UCAGUUGGUUAGAGCACCACCUUGACAUGGUGGGGGUCGGUGGUUCGAGUCCACUCGGACGCACCAAUAUUCAGUAU
This 77-nucleotide transfer RNA is filed under the name Pantoea sp. Sc1. RNAcentral's name for it is "tRNA-Val". The stretch from base 1 to 63 matches the Rfam family "tRNA", at positions 12 to 71 of the family's 71-position model. From Rfam's summary of the family: Transfer RNA (tRNA) molecules are approximately 80 nucleotides in length. The record is from RNAcentral. Lineage: Bacteria; Pseudomonadati; Pseudomonadota; Gammaproteobacteria; Enterobacterales; Erwiniaceae.